This 148-nucleotide non-coding RNA is filed under the name Pongo abelii (Sumatran orangutan). The record is from Rfam by way of RNAcentral. Lineage: Eukaryota; Metazoa; Chordata; Mammalia; Primates; Hominidae.
GCCAGGCGUAGUGGUGUGCACCUGUAAUCCCAGCUACUUGGGAGGCUGAGGCAGGAGAAUUGCUUGAACCUGGGAGGCACAGGGUGCAGUGAGCCAAGAUCGGGCCACUGCACUCCAGCCUAGAUGACAGAGCGAGACUUUGUCUCAA